RNAcentral lists this ribosomal RNA (427 nucleotides) under uncultured bacterium. Its description in RNAcentral is "bacterial SSU rRNA". It matches the Rfam family "Bacterial small subunit ribosomal RNA", at positions 355 to 774 of the family's 1533-position model. The record is from RNAcentral.
UGGGGAAUUUUGGACAAUGGGCGCAAGCCUGAUCCAGCCAUGCCUCGUGCAGGAUGAAGGCCUUCGGGUUGUAAACUGCUUUUGUACGGAACGAAAAGCUUCUGGUUAAUACCUGUGAGUCAUGACGGUACCGUAAUAAUAAGCACCUGCUAACUACGUGCCAGCAGCCGCGGUAAUACGUAGGCUGCGAGCGUUAAUCGUAAUUACUGGGCGUAAAGCGUGCGCAGGCGGUUAUGUAAGACAGAGGUGAAAUCCCCGGGCUCAACCUGGGAACUGCCUUUGUGACUGCAUGGCUAGAGUGCGGCAGAGGGGGAUGGAAUUCCGCGUGUAGCAGUGAAAUGCGUAGAUAUGCGGAGGAACACCGAUGGCGAAGGCAAUCCCCUGGGCCUGCACUGACGCUAAUGCACGAAAGCGUGGGGAGCAAACA